RNAcentral lists this ribosomal RNA (498 nucleotides) under uncultured bacterium. RNAcentral describes it as "partial 16S ribosomal RNA". It matches the Rfam family "Bacterial small subunit ribosomal RNA", at positions 29 to 523 of the family's 1533-position model. The record is from RNAcentral.
AUUGAACGCUGGCGGCAUGCCUUACACAUGCAAGUCGAACGGUAACAGGUCUUCGGAUGCUGACGAGUGGCGAACGGGUGAGUAAUGCAUCGGAACGUGCCCAGUAGUGGGGGAUAGCCCGGCGAAAGCCGGAUUAAUACCGCAUACGACCUGAGGGUGAAAGGGGGGGAUCGCAAGACCUCGCGCUAUUGGAGCGGCCGAUGUCAGAUUAGGUAGGUGGUGGGGUAAAGGCCCACCAAGCCGACGAUCUGUAGCUGGUCUGAGAGGACGACCAGCCACACUGGGACUGAGACACGGCCCAGACUCCUACGGGAGGCAGCAGUGGGGAAUUUUGGACAAUGGGCGCAAGCCUGAUCCAGCCAUGCCGCGUGCGGGAAGAAGGCCUUCGGGUUGUAAACCGCUUUUGUCAGGGAAGAAAUCCUUUGGGUUAAUACCUCGGGGGGAUGACGGUACCUGAAGAAUAAGCACCGGCUAACUACGUGCCAGCCGCCGCGGUAA